This 72-nucleotide small RNA is filed under the name Lacticaseibacillus paracasei. RNAcentral's name for it is "Lactobacillus paracasei TB11Cs4H1". Lineage: Bacteria; Bacillati; Bacillota; Bacilli; Lactobacillales; Lactobacillaceae. The record is from RNAcentral.
GCACAUUGAACUUCUUGGCAACUGCUAGCGUCAAAUCGGCGUCAGUGUAUGCUUCAGCUUGUUCAAUGGAGA